Molecule: ribosomal RNA, 445 nt
Filed under: uncultured Holophagae bacterium
Lineage: Bacteria; Pseudomonadati; Acidobacteriota; Holophagae
Description: bacterial SSU rRNA
Rfam family: Bacterial small subunit ribosomal RNA
Source: RNAcentral
AGCAUGUGGUUUAAUCGAAGCAACGCGAAGAACCUUACCUGGGUUUGAACUGCAGUGGAAGACGCUAGAGAUGGCGUCGCCCCUUCGGGGCCGCUGUGGAGGUGCUGCAUGGCUGUCGUCAGCUCGUGUCGUGAGAUGUUGGGUUAAGUCCCGCAACGAGCGCAACCCUUGCUCAUAGUUGCCAGCGGUUCGGCCGGGCACUCUAUGGGGACUGCCGGUGAUAAACCGGAGGAAGGUGGGGAUGACGUCAAGUCCUCAUGGCCUUUAUGUCCAGGGCUACACACGUGCUACAAUGGACGGUACAAAGAGUUGCGAUCCCGCGAGGGGGAGCUAAUCUCAAAAAGCCGUUCUCAGUUCGGAUUACAGUCUGCAACUCGACUGUAUGAAGCUGGAAUCGCUAGUAAUCGCGGAUCAGCAUACCGCGGUGAAUACGUUCCCGGGCCUU